AGGUGGCAUGGCCAAGUGGUAAGGCAGGAGCCUGCAAAGCUCCUAUCCCCAGUUCGAAUCUGGGUGCCACCUU
Molecule: transfer RNA, 73 nt
Filed under: Candidatus Rhabdochlamydia sp. W815
Lineage: Bacteria; Pseudomonadati; Chlamydiota; Chlamydiia; Parachlamydiales; Candidatus Rhabdochlamydiaceae
Description: tRNA-Cys
Rfam family: tRNA
About the family: Transfer RNA (tRNA) molecules are approximately 80 nucleotides in length. Their secondary structure includes four short double-helical elements and three loops (D, anti-codon, and T loops).
Source: RNAcentral